GGAAGUAAAAGUCGUAACAAGGUCUCCGUUGGUGAACCAGCGGAGGGAUCAUUAUCGAGUUUACAACUCCCAAACCCAUGUGAACUUAUACCUUUACUGUUGCUUCGGCGGGACCGCCCCGGGAAACAGGCUCGCGAGAGCCCGGCCCCCGGAACCAAGGCGCCCGCCGGUGGGAAUUACAGAACUCUUGUAUGUUUUUUUGCAACGUCUGAGUGGAAUUUAUAUCAUAGAAUGAAUCAAAACUUUCAACAACGGAUCUCUUGGUUCUGGCAUCGAUGAAGAACGCAGCGAAAUGCGAUAAGUAAUGUGAAUUGCAGAAUUCAGUGAAUCAUCGAAUCUUUGAACGCACAUUGCGCCCGCCAGUAUUCUGGCGGGCAUGCCUGUUCGAGCGUCAUUUCAACCCUCAAGCCCGCAGCGGCUUGGUGUUGGGGACCGGCUACAGCGCCUGCCUUGUAUAAUGCGGGCGCGCGCCGCCCCCGAAAUGAAUUGGCGGUCUCGUCGCGGCCUCCUCUGCGUAGUAGCAUAAACCUCGCAACAGGAGCGCGGCGCGGCCAAUGCCGUAAAACGCCCAACUUUUUCUCAAGAGUUGACCUCGAAUCAGGUAGGAAUACCCGCAGAACUUAAGCAUAUCAAUAAGCGGAGGA
This 644-nucleotide ribosomal RNA is filed under the name Metarhizium flavoviride. Its description in RNAcentral is "eukaryotic LSU rRNA". The stretch from base 241 to 394 matches the Rfam family "5.8S ribosomal RNA". Lineage: Eukaryota; Fungi; Ascomycota; Sordariomycetes; Hypocreales; Clavicipitaceae. The record is from RNAcentral.